UACGUAGGGUGCGAGCGUUAAUCGGAAUUACUGGGCGUAAAGUGUGCGCAGGCGGCCGAGCAAGUCGAGUGUGAAAGCCCCGAGCUUAACUUGGGAACUGCGCUCGAAACUACUUGGCUAGAGUGUGGCAGAGGGAGGUGGAAUUCCACGUGUAGCGGUGAAAUGCGUAGAGAUGUGGAGGAACACCGAUGGCGAAGGCAGCCUCCUGGGCCAACACUGACGCUCAUGCGCGAAAGCGUGGGGAGCAAACAGG
RNAcentral lists this ribosomal RNA (253 nucleotides) under uncultured bacterium. RNAcentral describes it as "partial 16S ribosomal RNA". It matches the Rfam family "Bacterial small subunit ribosomal RNA", at positions 524 to 776 of the family's 1533-position model. The record is from RNAcentral.